CUAGUUGCUGUGGGAGCCUUUGGCUCAAGGUUCUGGUUCUAGCUGUGGACAUUUUUGUCUAGAGUUGUUUCUACCGUCCUUUGCAUUACUUCUGUGAAGUCUCCGAUGUAUGCAUUGAUAAGCCACACUAUACCAGAGGAAUCCAGUCAGGGUCCCAGUGUUCAGGAUGCUGCCAGUCCUGGAAUAAUGAUGCCAGAAUCCCGACACUGCUCGGAAUACCGACGCCGGAAUCCCAACAUUAUUCGCAAUGCUGGUGCCAGGAUCCCCAAAGAAGGAAUGUUGAGACUGAUGAAAGCUGUACUACUGAGCAUGUGCCAACAGACGUAAGCACACAUGCAAGCCGGAGCCACUGGGGGGCGCCACAUUCUAUUUUUCCUCCGGGGCGCCUGGUGUGAAAUCAUGCCCCUUAUCAGAAUGCUGUCCCCUAUGAUGGAUUUGAAAGGGGCUAUAAAAGUGUCAAAAUUCUGUCCCUUGUAGUGACCCUGAUGGAGCCUCAAAUAUCUCACCUGCAGGAGAAUACUUAGUGCAAUCAGGGCGGGGACUGCUGGGACUGGAGUUCAUGCCCAAAGAAUGGGGGGCCCAACAUGCUUCCUUUGCCGCUAUGCCCCGCAAACUUGCCAUGCUGCUGCUGAAACAUUCCACACCUGUCCUGCAGCAGUAUGCCAGGUGGUGAGGAGGAGGAAGAUGAAGCCCAACUCAGCAGUAUCGGGGUCAUCCCAGCUGUACCUGCACUUUUCGUGGUGUAGUAUGACCCACGCUGCUGGCACGAGAGGCCUCACCAGACACACUGGAGGUUUGAGAAGGUGGCUGGUGCCCUGCAAAUUUCAUUUGUACUAGGCUCAAUUGUUUCUGGUGGCAGCCCGUAGUGUUAGGAUAAGGUAGAGGGGGGAGUGGGGGUCCCUGCCUAUUUUAAUAGUCUUGGGCCCCGCAAUUUCUGAUGGCAUCCCAUGUUGGUGCAUCUAACGUAACUGAUAGGAGCCAGCACAACUCUCUCAUUACCCCCACUUAGGGCUAGUAUUUCUGUCACUAUUUAAUGGUGUAUUAUCUUUGGCCUGUAUAUCUUCUUCCCAGAACACAGAGGUCUAUGUACUAAACUUUGGAGAGAGAUAAAGUACAAACCAACCAGCUCUUACAGAUGUGUCCUCUUACUUUGUUACUGCGGGAGGCUGUGUACUAUGGUGCAUGCGCAUUGUGGCAUAGCGCAGCCUCCCGUAGCCUCAGUUCCCCUAUUGUCUGAGAUUACACGCUCCCGCUCCCACCUUCUCUGAUUACAACUAAUGGGUACAAGCUCCAGCUACCCCUAAUAAAUCACCUGCGCCGGCUUCCUCUAUGUACGGGUAGCAGGAGCACAGCUGCCCGCUGCUCUGUCCGGGUCUCCC
Long non-coding RNA from Pseudophryne corroboree (corroboree frog), 1379 nucleotides. RefSeq lists it as uncharacterized. NCBI's taxonomy places the organism in Eukaryota, Metazoa, Chordata, Amphibia, Anura, Myobatrachidae. The transcript is spliced from 3 exons. The record is from RefSeq and is a predicted model, not a curated record.